This 238-nucleotide ribosomal RNA is filed under the name uncultured bacterium. RNAcentral describes it as "partial 16S ribosomal RNA". It matches the Rfam family "Bacterial small subunit ribosomal RNA", at positions 96 to 334 of the family's 1533-position model. The record is from RNAcentral.
CGGCGGACGGGUGAGUAACGCGUGGGUAACCUGCCUCAUACAGGGGGAUAACAGUUAGAAAUGACUGCUAAUACCGCAUAAGACCACGGUACCGCAUGGUACAGUGGUAAAAACUCCGGUGGUAUGAGAUGGACCCGCGUCUGAUUAGGUAGUUGGUGGGGUAACGGCCUACCAAGCCGACGAUCAGUAGUCGACCUGAGAGGGUGACCGGCCACAUUGGGACUGAGACACGGCCCAG